This is a non-coding RNA of Pelobates cultripes (western spadefoot toad), 321 nucleotides long. The record is from the annotation of a GenBank genome assembly. NCBI's taxonomy places the organism in Eukaryota, Metazoa, Chordata, Amphibia, Anura, Pelobatidae.
CGCUAUUACAUUCACAUUCCAAGAUACGGUAACGACACGAGCGCUAUAACAUUCACAUUCCAAGAUACGGUAACGACACGAGCGCUAUUACAUUCACAUUCCAAGAUACGGUAACGGCACGAGCGCUAUUACAAUCACAUUUCAAGAUACAGUAACGACACGGGCGCUAUUACAAUCACAUUCUAAGAAACGGUAACAGCACGAGCGGUAUUACAAUAACAUUCCAAGAUACGGUAACUGCACGAACGCUAUUACAAUCACAUUCUAAGAUACGGUAACGGCAUGAGGGCUAUUACAAUCACCUUCCAAGAUACGGUAACG